CUAGAUAAACAUUUAGCUCAGAGCUACAUAUUUAGCUAGAAAGCAAAAAUUUUUCAUAUUUAAACAAUCUAAUGAUUUAGUUAGCUCUGAGCUGGCUAACUGUGGCAUUUCUAAAUGAAUGAAUGUAAAACAUGAGGAAAACAUGGACUCACAUUUGUCCUCUUCUGAAAGGCUAAAUAAUCAGAAUUAUUGGUUGUAAUUUGUGUAACUUUAUGAGCAUUGGCCUCGAAGGACGUCUGUAAUUAUCACCAUCAGUUGGACAAACGGCUCAGAUUUCCUGAUUUCAGCUCCGGUUUAGAUCAGCAGGGAGCAAACCUGAAAAAUCCAAUUAAUGUUUUUCCUGUGAGACGCAGGAACCCGGUUGCCUGAUGGACCCGCGGUUCCCGCUGAAGCUUCAAGCUAACGGUCUGCAGGCAGAACCAGGAGACAUUGACAAGUCUUUUCCUUUUUCCGUCCUCCAUUUUGUUUUAACAAAGUUGUCCCAGACAGAGCGCCACUUCUGCAGACGAUUUUAUUUAGUAAAUAAUUGUUAAAAUGUUCACAGUUCCUCCCUGCAUUGGAUAAACGUUCCUCUAGGUAUUCAAACCAGAAACUGGAAGCAAACUGGUGGAAAAUUAAUAACAUUUCUGCAUAAAAUACGCCACAUUAGCACGUUCCCAAAGUCCUCCACUCUUUAAGAGCUUAUAAUGCCAGCCUGAAUAAAACUUAAGACAAAUAAAACUGUAAAUAUAGAGGAUGAUGGGGCAUAAAAACAAACGCUGUCCAGCCAAUGUACCCAAGACGGACAUAAAAGAAGCUAGCUAGCUUCUAGGGUACGUUAGCAACUAGAUUUUCUGUCCAUUUUUUCUUAUUCAACAAGAAAAAUCUUAAUCCAAUAUGACUCAGCUUUUAUGUGCCUAUAGAUUAUUUAUGUGCCUAUAGAUUAUUUUAAACAGGUUUCCUGGAUGUUAGGUCUAGUCAAAGUAAUAAUCAGCAUCAGAAGCAUCUGACAGUCAUGAAUAAGAUCUGAUCUGAUUGGCUGUUGAGCUGAAAGUCUGAUAAAAACAAACAUCUUUUCCAGAAAUCCAGAAAGCCUUAAAUUAUUUCAGGAUCAGUUGUAAAUUUUAGGGAGGAAUGAUAAAUCCUCACCAACAUCGGUAUCGACCGAUAUUAGUCAUUAUUUAACAUAUCGAUAUCUGUCCGAUAAAUAAAAUUGGGCCAAUAAUAACAGCCCAUAUUUAUUUAUCCUGUUGCCUCCCCCAAAGGUGGUGAAAUAUAUAUAAUAUUGGUAAAUAUUGGUAAUCAGAAAGAUUAAUAUCGGCCCAAAUUUUCAUAUCAGUGCAUCCCUAAGAAAUUUUAGUAUCAUUUAAAAUGUGAAAACAGCCUCAGUUAUUGCAGUUAGACACAUAUUUUGAAGCUCAGUUUGUUUAAGAAAAAUCCUAGACUGUUUUUAGUUUGUAGCUUUCUGAUUGGCUGAUCAGUUCGCCUUGGCGUCUCCUCUCCAGGAAGUGCAUCUUUCCCCUCAUACAGGAAGCCUAAAGCUACAUCCUUGGUGCAGAAAGCAGCACAAUCACAGGUCCUUCCUGCAGUGAGUCUUCACAUCCCUGCUGAAUGCCGCAGCGCUCCGGUUUAUUCCCACACUGGAUUCUGAUUUGUCCCACUCAUCAGGAAAACAGGCGGCCGCUUGUUCCAGCCGGACGCCGAUCUCCCACCAUCAUUCCAGCUGCAGGAUGAUCCGAACGCCAGCUGCUCUCCCUGGAAGCCAGAGUAGCUGCAAGGCAUGCUGGGUAAUUCCUUCACAGAUUCGCUCCUCAAGCAGAGAGGAUCCAGCACGAACGCAGGCAGGAGAAAAAGGCACUGAGAUAAACACGAAGGAAUCCACUCAGCUCCAGAUGUGACAGAUAAAACUUCUGCCAAAGCAGAAAACCUGCUGGACGCAAAGAUUCAUUUCAUCAGAACGGAAAGAAACGUCUGAGCGUCAAAAACAAGAGUCUGUUCAACUUUAAUCACUUUAAAAGUUUCAAUCCCUGCAGGAUUUAAAGGCAGACAUCUUCAAAAAAGUAAACCCUAAACCGCCUUUUGUAACGACUUUCAACGUAAAUGCACCGCCAAACACAAACAGGAAGCACUUCCAUAUAUGGAUGAUGACAAAGCAUCCGGAAAUGUUUGACAGUUAUCAGAAAAUAUUUGCUUUUGACUGGAAAAUGACUUUUUUAUGGGAAUGAGUGGAAAAGAUGGAAUGGCAAUUGGAUGACCAGCGGAAGCAGACGACGGGUUUGUCCUCCCAGCGUUGAGUUUACGAUUGUACCAGAAACGUGAAUAAAAAGGUUCCGACCAGAGUGUUUAUACGUAAUAAAAUAAAAGUCAUUAACUGCA
Long non-coding RNA from Xiphophorus couchianus (Monterrey platyfish), 2355 nucleotides. RefSeq lists it as uncharacterized. NCBI's taxonomy places the organism in Eukaryota, Metazoa, Chordata, Actinopteri, Cyprinodontiformes, Poeciliidae. The transcript is spliced from 2 exons. The record is from RefSeq and is a predicted model, not a curated record.